This 206-nucleotide long non-coding RNA is filed under the name Homo sapiens (human). RNAcentral describes it as "HSALNT0213631". Lineage: Eukaryota; Metazoa; Chordata; Mammalia; Primates; Hominidae. The record is from RNAcentral.
CAGCGUGCAUCCUUGCACAUACAUACUGAUCCAUCAUUUCAGGUUGGGGUGUAACAUUUAUGAUCUGUCUGGAGAAGAACAGAGAAGGUUUAGGACUAUUACUUAAGAGAGAAGGUGUGAUGCAACAGAGAAAGUAGAACAAGAUCCAAGAGACUGACUCAGGCUAUGAAUCAGCUACGUAAGUUCCAUGAAAGGGCUAUGUCUUC